CCUACGGGUGGCAGCAGUGGGGAAUAUUGGGCAAUGGAGGAAACUCUGACCCAGCAACGCCGCGUGAAUGAUGAAGGUCUUCGGAUUGUAAACUGCUUUAGACAGGGAAGAAACAAGACAGUACCUGUAAAAUAAGCUCCGGCUAACUACGUGCCAGCAGCCGCGGUAAUACGUAGGGAGCAAGCGUUAUCCGGAUUUAGUGGGUGUAAAGGGUGCGUAGACGGGAAGUCAAGUUGGUUGUGAAAUCCCUCGGCUUAACUGAGGAACUGCAACCAAACCUAACUUUGUUGAGUGCUGGAGAGGAAAGUGGAAUUCCUAGUGUAGCGGUGAAAUGCGUAGAUAUUAGGAGGAACACCAGUGGCGAAGGCGACUUUCUGGACAGUAACUGACGUUGAGGCACGAAAGUGUGGGGAGCAAACAGGAUUAGAUACCCCAGUAGUC
Molecule: ribosomal RNA, 441 nt
Filed under: uncultured bacterium
Lineage: Bacteria
Description: partial 16S ribosomal RNA
Rfam family: Bacterial small subunit ribosomal RNA
Source: RNAcentral